This 230-nucleotide ribosomal RNA is filed under the name uncultured Alicycliphilus sp. RNAcentral's name for it is "partial 16S ribosomal RNA". It matches the Rfam family "Bacterial small subunit ribosomal RNA", at positions 550 to 774 of the family's 1533-position model. Lineage: Bacteria; Pseudomonadati; Pseudomonadota; Betaproteobacteria; Burkholderiales; Comamonadaceae. The record is from RNAcentral.
AGCUGAUCAUUGGGUGUAAAGCGUGCGCAGGCGGUUUUGUAAGACAGAGGUGAAAUCCCCGGGCUCAACCUGGGAACUGCCUUUGUGACUGCAAGGCUGGAGUGCGGCAGAGGGGGAUGGAAUUCCGCGUGUAGCAGUGAAAUGCGUAGAUAUGCGGAGGAACACCGAUGGCGAAGGCAAUCCCCUGGGCCUGCACUGGCGCUCAUGCACGAAAGCGUGGGGAGCAAACA